AGAGUUUGAUCAUGGCUCAUGAUGAACGCUGGCGGCGUACCUAACGCAUGCAAGUCGAACGGACCUUGAAAGCAAUUUUGAGGUUAGUGGCAAACGGGUGAGUAACACGUAGGGAUCUGCCUUGAAGUGGGGAAUAACGGACCGAAAGGUUCGCUAAUACCGCAUGGGCUUGCGAAAGCAAAGGUGGUGAAAGCCAUCGCUUGAAGAGGACCCUGCGUUCGAUCAGGUAGUUGGUGAGGUAACGGCUCACCAAGCCGAUGACCGAUAGCUGAUCUGAGAGGAUGACCAGCCACACUGGGACUGUGAGACGGCCCAGACUCCUACGGGAGGCAGCAGCGAGGAAUAUUGCACACUGGAGGAAACUCUGAUGCAGUAACGCCGCGUGGGGGAAGAAGACCUUCGGGUUGUAAACCUCUUUUUGUAGAGACGAGUGAGGACGGUAUCUAUAGAAUAAGUCUCGGCUAACUACGUGCCAGCAGCCGCGGUAAUU
This 490-nucleotide ribosomal RNA is filed under the name uncultured bacterium. RNAcentral's name for it is "bacterial SSU rRNA". It matches the Rfam family "Bacterial small subunit ribosomal RNA", at positions 8 to 525 of the family's 1533-position model. The record is from RNAcentral.